CCCCCCAGGAAAAGUCCCUUUUUCCUAAAAUUAUACAAACAAUCCAGCGAAGAUUAACAAAUAGAUAAACGGAAAGUAAUUUUAGGCUUUAUCCUUUGUUCUUGUUUAACAAAAUCGAUUUAAAUUGUUACUUUUUUUACCACUAAGCCAUGAUAAAUUAUUGUUAAUAUUUUUUUUAUUUUUUGGAUGCUCAGAAUGCAGGAAAUAGCAUUUCACGGUUUCAAAUUUCAAAAAUUUUCUUGGGAUUAUCCCUCCGAAUAAGUAAUGAUAAAUUACAGUUAAUAUUCUUUUUUACUUUUUGUGCAUUUUUCCAUCUUUUAUUUCAAAUACAACUAUAGUUAGCAUAAAUUUUAGAGCAAAUUUGGAUGCUCAGAAUGCAGGAAAUGGCAUUUCCGUGGUUCAAAUUUCAAAAAUGUUCUGGGGGAGUACACCCCCACACACCUGACCAUUGCUAUCCUCCUCUAAUAAGUAAUGAUAAAUGAUGGUUAUUUUUUUUUUACUUUUUGUGUGUUUCUUCCUUUAUUUAUUUGAAAUACAAGUAUAGUUAGGAUAAAUUUUGGAGCAAAUUUGGAUGCUCAGAAUGCAGGAAAUGACAUUUCCGGGAGUCAAAUUUCAAAAAUUUUCUGGGGGAGUACACCCCCAGACCCCCCAUUCAUGCGCGGUAUAUUUGCCACACACGUGGCUUUCAGCCAUUGCUAUCCCCCUCUAAUAUAUUAUCUCACAGAAAGGUCCCUUUUCAAAAAAUGCCCCCCCACGGGAAAAUCCUUAAAAAAGGCCCUGCAGAGAAUCAGAGAAAAACUGUACUUGACCCGGCGUUUGCCGCGACUGGGAAUCGAUUCCGCUAGUCAACUGGUCAUCGCAUGUCUACACUGUGCCACAGUCCCUUCAGGGGAUCUGUUGGGGUCACAGAAGCGAAGCUAGAUGUCGAGCGGCUUGUCGGCGGGAGAACGAGCGGAAAUGAAAGGGAAGGGAAAAAGGCUCUGUGGACAUUCUACUCAUAAAAUGGGUACACCGCGUUGUUGAGACAACGCAUGUUUUCCACUGGCUGGAAGAUGAAUUAAUUGACAAACCCUUCAUAUGGCAGAAUCAUGCACCGAGGAUGGUUGAGACGAAUGUUUCCGACAAUUUCUCAUUGUUUCAUUGUUAAAGCGUGACCAAAAGGAAAGUGUACUUAGUGUGCUGUUCAGUAUUGAAGUAUUGGCUGUGUUUCCAAUAAGAUUUGAAAAGAGCAUAAUUUAUCAGUUGUUUGUGAUGCCACUAAAAGUCGCUUAAUCAGCGAUGUCAACAAGAGGGCCGUGGCGUUUGUAACAUCACAUUAAAAAGCAUUGGGCAUAGUCUUUCAAAACAUGGAUUGGAAACUCCGCUAAAGUCUUAGCCUGCUCGCAGGCCGUUGUCAGGCAGAGGCUGCAUGGGAGGAACGGCCUGCGACCUUUAUUAGUAAAAAGUCGAUUUAUGCGUACGGAGCGUACGCAAAAUUCCCAUUGGUCAGAAGUGCCCCAUGAGUUAAUAUCGUGCAAAUAUUUAACUCGUACGACAUUUCGCAAUGUAAUUUUAAAGCUGGCAUUCAAUCAGUGGCGUAUAAAACCAUGACUUUGUUUAUCUCUUCGAAGAAGUAACUGAAUGUAUUUGAAACUUUCAAUUUAAAUUAACGUUGAAGGAUGAGCGAAGGUUAGCAAUAUUAACUGUACUUCCAACGGGAUUUGAUAAAAGUUUACAUGUAAUAUACCGAUACUUUGUCUUCGUCAGCUAUAAUAAUAAACCUUUUCCAAAGAAGUACCAGGGAAAACUUCGACGUAUGCCUUGCUGAUCUUUGCAGAGAGAGUAAAAUAAGUCUAGUUCAGGCUGACAAUUUAUCUAACCGCGUUUACAUCACUUGCGGUUUCAAACGUUGAACAACUUAAGGUUAUGUAAACGUUCUCUGGUUAAAAAAGAUUUAUUUAUUAACAAGCUUUCGACUGCCAGUCUGCAGUCUUCGACGGGUAGAUUUAUAAUGUGCUAGUGAUAUAAGAUAUGAUACAGAGUGAAUAGUGCUAUAUAAGAGCGGUUUACAAUUACAUUUACUAACAAAAGACAAUUACUGAACAGUUCCGCCUACGUAAAUAUAUUGUGUAGAAUUUAAAGUUUUUUGAGCAAAAAGCGAUAUUGUUCUGGCAAAUGUUUUGAGUUGUUAUCAGCGUCUUUCAUGCAUGCAGUGUGCCAAGACUCUAACGUCGAUCUGUGUCGAUAGCUUCCCUUGUCAAUUAUUUUUCCGUUCUUAAAAUUCGAGUGCGCGGUGUGUGAAAUUGAGGUGACGGUGAUGUGCUUCGAGUUUGUAAAUGGAUUUUUCUAAGGAUCUUGCUAGUUUCAAGGCAUUUCGCCCGGCCUCUUGGCGGAUAG
Molecule: non-coding RNA, 2376 nt
Organism: Paramuricea clavata
Lineage: Eukaryota; Metazoa; Cnidaria; Anthozoa; Malacalcyonacea; Plexauridae
Source: the annotation of a GenBank genome assembly